Molecule: long non-coding RNA, 2920 nt
Organism: Zonotrichia albicollis (white-throated sparrow)
Lineage: Eukaryota; Metazoa; Chordata; Aves; Passeriformes; Passerellidae
Source: RefSeq, a predicted model, not a curated record
AAGCAGGAAAAUUUCAUCUCUGCAAUUGUCUCUGGGAUAAAAAGAUCUCCCUCUGGCCCCAACACUUUCUGUUCACAUGCAGAUCCCAAACUGAAUUCAGCACCUAACAGCACAUCAUCUCUUUGGAAGACAGACACCCUCUCAGGAGAAGGAAAGAAAUGGUGUGGUCCUUUAUGGAAGCUUGGAGUACCAAGAAGCUGGUGCCAAAUCCCUGCUUUCCUUCUGAACAGAACAGAUGAAGACAUCUUCAAGCCAGCCGUUACCAUUCAUCCAUCUGUCCUUGGAGCGUGGCAGGGGACUGGGAGCAGGUUUCUGCUUGUACCAGCACCAGCAGCUGAAGUAUCUGUUCCACUUCACUGGAGUAACAAAAGGGCUUACUGGGUUUUGUUUUAAAAAGUAUUUUAUUUUCUUUUUUUUUUUUUACUUCUUGUCAAGCCUAUCGCUUAGUCAGUAUUAAAAGAAAAUGCAGUAACAGCUCUGUUCAGCUGCCAAAACCUAAUCAACACAAAGAAGUUUUCAAGUAGCUGUCAGACAGGAUUAUGAUAUUGAUCCUAACUAUGUGCAUGUUCCAGGAAAAGGAGCAUCUCUUGAACUAAAAGUCAGAGGGUGACAGGUAAUGAAAGAAAAAUAUUUUACAGCUCGAAGGAUGAUUUUGUCCUCACAUUAGGAGAUCUGCCUAAUUACAGCUGAGAGAAAAAGCAGCACCUGUGCAUGUUUUGCUGAUGUCUUACCUUGUACUCUGAACCCCUCAUCUCUUACAAAUUAGCAGGUACUGAGAGAGUCGCAGCAUGAACAUAAGGGUUUGAGAAACAUCCAUGCCAUGAGGGAGUAAUAUGUGUGAUUUAAUGGGUAGCUCUCCCUGUUUGAGACAGUAGUGAAUCAAGAAUUUUAGGAGUUUGUCAAGGAGAGUGACUUUGGGAUCAGAGACAAGCUCAAGGCUAUCCGAAUUUCUGAUCAUUACUGAUCAUAUGACAUUAUUUAUAACACCAGUGAAAUUGACUUCUGGGUCUUACCCCCAAGUGGUGAGACAGGUAACAGUCUGGGUUUGAGUACAGAUAAAAUCAGAUGGGUUUGGAUUCAUCAGGAUAAAUGCAAACUACAGCAGAUAUUUGAAGCAGGACAGGAGAAUCAUAGACUACAGGUCUAAAUGUUGUCCCACUUGUCCCAUGUCUCAAGGUGCAUAAGAUGAAUCCCAUCUACAAGGACUCCAAGUUCUAUGUUCCAACACACGAAAGAAAGGAAGAGCCCUUACUUCUGAGGAGCCCAGAGAUAUACUGGAAAUUCACAGAGAAUCAAAUUCCAUGUUUGUUUAUUUAUCUGUCACCCAUCAUGGUUCAAAAGAGUAACAUCAGUACUCCAACAAGAGGCACAUUUGAGGGAUAAAAUAUGGGGUUUGAGGGAUAAAUCCAAAAAUGAGCUAAUAUAGAUUCAGAUUUAGUUGCUUUCAACUUUGGUUUAAAUUUGUUGGGGCCUUUUUUAUGCAAUAUAAUUACCAUUUUAUGUACAGCGCAAAGAGCCCAAGAAAGGAGCUUUGUGCAGUACUGCCAUAGGCACUGUGAGUAACUGCAGUCCUCUGGACAUCCCCCAGCAAUCCCACCUGUCUUGCCUCCCUACCCACCUGCAUAUCCCUCUCUGCCUGACUCCUGUCACAGAGGGGUAGCCUAUUUUGCCUAGCAACUACCAUGUGAGUGAUAAGACAUAUUAAUAACAAAUAAAUUAUGCUCUAAAUUACAACCCCCCUAAAGCCAGAGUGUAACUCAGGUCAGAAUCUGCAUUCAAUCUUGUAGUCCUGGGUUUUCCAGAUACUGCUUUUGGUCUCAUGGGUCCCCAGGAAAGUCAGUUAGCCUCUCAGUGACUCAUGUUCCCCAUCUCUGGUGAAGCAAUUAUGGUUUCCACCUACUGUGCAAGAGAUGGGAAGGAUUUGUUUCUCAAGUAUCACAGAGAGCCAGAAAGAAUGUCCUGGAGAAGUGCUGUGAUAGCAGUACUGUACAAUGCUGUGCAAAAAUCAGUGAAAUGCUUUGGCUUGCAAGGAGUGUCAAAAUUAUAUACUUGUUAUUUAAGAUGCACUAUCUUACAGAAUUUUCUGCACCUAAAGUCUAGGGCACAUCACAAUCCUCCUGGUUUGUUUGUUUGUUUGUUUGUUUUUAUUCAGGAACAAGAUAUAUUUUAAAUAACUGUCCCUGGAUCCUUUGUAGACACUGUUGGUUGUCACAGAACUGUGGUAAAGAAAAUAUGUUAUUUUAGUGUGUGUUUUUCCCUGUGUAAUGAGCUACCACAUCGGUCAAUUUUGUUCUCUGUAAUACAUCAAAGCAAUGGGAGUGCAUUAAGAACCAAAUGAGGGUCUUGGCCUCUCAUCUUAGUUUUAUCUCCCCCAAUAAUAAUGAAGCUGGGUAACUUCCUAGAAAAUAACAAAUUGAUAUAAACAGCACUGGUUUGCCAGCUACUGUCAUUGCUGAUGGAUAAUCCUACAGCCUGAAUGGGUUGUCCACAUAGCUAUUUGUCAGCACUGUCUGUGAGGAGCUCUGUGAUAACACACUGUGCUAAAUUCACUCUCGUGUCUACAAAGGAAUAAAAAAUGGCUCAUUUGAGUCAAUAGAUGUCACACAGAGUAAACAACAACAAAACCAGGAUCUGGUUAUAUUGCAACCUUGCCAAAAAGAUACCCCCGAUGCUGAAUGGGUUGUUACUGAUUUAGGCACCUGGAAUCUGGGUACGUGCUAGUAAGUUUAGUUCACUGUUGGUUUGUUCUUUCUCUCAUAAGAGUUAAAUAUGUUUACUGCUUGCAUUAAAUGCCUACAUUUCUAUUAUUGCUGACAAAACUGACAAUGAACAUUCAUCUCCUUGUAAUCUUAUUUAUAUCAAAUGGCACAUUUGCCGAGGUGCAUGCUUCUCUUAAAAAAUAAAGAAGUGUUGAAUUAUG